CAGCAAAGGAGACAAUCCAAGGGCGUAAAAAAAAAAAUAAUAAUGAAAAAAAAGCCCGCUAAUUGCAUGUUGGAUAAGUGAUGUGUGUUGUAAUGGUGCUUUGAAAUGUCUGUGUAUGUUUGGUUUAGACAUGAAUAGAUAUAAUGAGGUAAAUACAGUAAAGUGCUCUGGGAAGGUUACGUGACUUUUAAGUAUUGUGUGUCUAAAGAGGUUAGGGGCAGGUUACGUGAGUUUAAAGUAUUGUGUGUCUAGAGAGGUCAGGGUCAGGUUACGUGAGUUUAAAGUAUUGUGUGUCUAGAGAGGUCAGGGUCAGGUUACGUGAGUUUAAAGUAUUGUGUGUCUAGAGAGGUCAGGGUCAGGUUACGUGAGUUUAAAGUAUUGUGUGUCUAGAGAGGUCAGGGUCAGGUUACGUGAGUUUAAAGUAUUGUGUGUCUAGAGAGGUCAGGGUCAGGUUACGUGAGUUUAAAGUAUUGUGUGUCUAGAGAGGUCAGGGUCAGGUUACGUGAGUUUAAAGUAUUGUGUGUCUAGAGAGGUCAGGGUCAGGUUACGUGAGUUUAAAGUAUUGUGUGUCUAGAGAGGUCAGGGUCAGGUUACGUGAGUUUAAAGUAUUGUGUGUCUAGAGAGGUCAGGGUCAGGUUACGUGAGUUUAAAGUAUUGUGUGUCUAGAGAGGUCAGGGUCAGGUUACGUGAGUUUAAAGUAUUGUGUGUCUAGAGAGGUCAGGGUCAGGUUACGUGAGUUUAAAGUACUGUAUGUCUAGAGAGGUUUAGGUGGUGUGGUAUAGUGAAUGGAGCGAAAGAAUGGGUUGAUGGAUAUCGUAUUCCCACCCUCGGAGUCACACCCACCUUUCCCUCCUCACCCUCCCAUCCCUCCCAUUCACACCCUAUCCACACUCUUUGGACCUCCUCUUCCUCCUCUCCUUCACAUUUAUACCCUCUCUCCCUCCUCUCCCUCCUCUCACCGGCAUCCACAGCCUAUCUUCCUCUUUCCCCUCCUCUCCCUUUCAUCUACAUCCUCUCUCCAUCCUCUCCCUCAUCCAUAUCCUCUCUGCCACCUUUCCUUUCUCCUCUCCCUCACAUCUAUACCCUCUCUCCCUCCUCUUCCUCCUCUCACUGGCAUCCACAUCCUAUCUUCCUCUUUUCCCUCCUCUCCCUCACAUCUACAUCCUCUUUCCAUCCUCUCCCUCAUCCAUAUCAUCUCUCCCACCUUUCCUUGCUCUCCCUCACAUACUCCCCCUCCCCCUUCCUCUCACCCUCUCAAACCCAGCCCACCACUUAUCGAAAUGGCAUCACCUCCUCGUAAACCUCACAUCCCCCUUACAGUAAUGGGGUUCGCUGGGCUCCAUUUUAUUUCUAUCUUUUUUUUCCUUUCCCCGUGACGGCUUAGCGAGGGAGCAUCCAUUUCCCAUUUUCUUCAGUCCAAUAAACGUAAUGGAAUGAUGACGCUCGUGCAUUAGCUACGUUACGUUUUCGCUUAUACCUGUUGAGUCAGCACCUGUACUCCC
Long non-coding RNA from Eriocheir sinensis (Chinese mitten crab), 1502 nucleotides. RefSeq lists it as uncharacterized. The record is from RefSeq and is a predicted model, not a curated record. The transcript has 5 exons. Lineage: Eukaryota; Metazoa; Arthropoda; Malacostraca; Decapoda; Varunidae.